Molecule: ribosomal RNA, 397 nt
Filed under: uncultured bacterium
Lineage: Bacteria
Description: partial 16S ribosomal RNA
Rfam family: Bacterial small subunit ribosomal RNA
Source: RNAcentral
AUACAGAGGGGGCAAGCGUUAUUCGGAAUUAUUGGGCGUAAAGGGCGCGUAGGCGGCCUGACAAGUGGAAGGUGAAAUCCCUCGGCUUAACCGAGGAACUGCCCUCCAAACUGUCUGGCUUGAGACCGGGAGAGGGGAGUGGAAUUCCAAGUGUAGAGGUGAAAUGCGUAGAUAUUGGGAGGAACAACAGUGGCGAAGGGGGCUCACUGGACCGGUACGGACGCUGAGGCGCGAAAGCGGGGGGAGCAAACGGUAUUAGAUACCCCGGUAGUCCACGCCGUAAACGAUGAAUGCUUGGUGUAGCGGGUAUCGACCCCUGCUGUGCCGAAGUCAACACAUUAAGCAUUCCGCCUGGGGAGUACGGUCGCAAGGCUGAAACUCAAAUGAAUUGACGGGG